CUGUCCUCAAGCUCUUUGGCAUUCUCGGAACAGUUCCACUCAGGUUGUUGUUUCCCAACUGCAGUUCCAUCAGAAUCUCGAAGCUACUGAUGCUGUCAGGUAUUGAACCACAGAAUCUGUUGCUUUGCAAACUCAGAACUGAAAGCUUGUUUAAGUUGGAAAUUGCUGGAGGUAUCUCACCAGUGAGCAAGUUCUGGCUGAGAUCAAGAGUGCUCAAAUUCCGAAACUUCAAGAGUUCAUCAGGUAUUUCUCCAGUAAGAUUGUUGUUUUG
This 271-nucleotide long non-coding RNA is filed under the name Elaeis guineensis (African oil palm). RNAcentral describes it as "long non-coding RNA (EGUI_LNC021075)". Lineage: Eukaryota; Viridiplantae; Streptophyta; Magnoliopsida; Arecales; Arecaceae. The record is from RNAcentral.